UCCGAAUUAGUUUAGUGGCUAUGACGGCGCCUUGUCAAAUAAAUCUCCGCGUUUAAUACGGCGCAGACCCGGGUUCAAUUCCCGGAUUCGGAG
Non-coding RNA from Ustilago sp. UG-2017b, 93 nucleotides. The record is from the annotation of a GenBank genome assembly. Lineage: Eukaryota; Fungi; Basidiomycota; Ustilaginomycetes; Ustilaginales; Ustilaginaceae.